UUAUAUUUUAAUACUCAACAAGACCCAUGAACCAUUUCCUGAAUCAGUCACGUGGUACGGCUGGUUUGCGAGGCUUUGAACGUCAUCACAUACGUCAUCAACACAAGCCUCGAUACGCGCUUCAUAAAAAUCUUCCUGGAUUACUCGACCCAAGCUUCGAAGCCUCGACGCGAACGUCACAUCACUAAGUGCAGAGCUCCCACAGUCACGUGUCUGUAAGGAGGAGGAGCUUCUCUCUGAGCAGCAGCUCUGUCUCCAGGAGAGGAAGCCCAGUCUGGACCAAGAGGACCCAGAUCCUCCAGAGAUUAAA
This is a long non-coding RNA of Gasterosteus aculeatus aculeatus (three-spined stickleback), 310 nucleotides long. RefSeq lists it as uncharacterized. The record is from RefSeq and is a predicted model, not a curated record. NCBI's taxonomy places the organism in Eukaryota, Metazoa, Chordata, Actinopteri, Perciformes, Gasterosteidae.